Molecule: ribosomal RNA, 587 nt
Filed under: Staphylococcus pseudintermedius
Lineage: Bacteria; Bacillati; Bacillota; Bacilli; Caryophanales; Staphylococcaceae
Description: partial 23S ribosomal RNA
Rfam family: Bacterial large subunit ribosomal RNA
Source: RNAcentral
CCUGAGUACGACGGAGCACGUGAAAUUCCGUCGGAAUCUGGGAGGACCAUCUCCUAAGGCUAAAUACUCUCUAGUGACCGAUAGUGAACCAGUACCGUGAGGGAAAGGUGAAAAGUACCCCGGAAGGGGAGUGAAAGAGAACUUGAAACCGUGUGCUUACAAGUAGUCAGAGCCCGUUAAUGGGUGAUGGCGUGCCUUUUGUAGAAUGAACCGGCGAGUUACGAUCUGAUGCAAGGUUAAGCAGAAAAUGUGGAGCCGUAGCGAAAGCGAGUCUGAAUAGGGCGAAUGAGUAUUUGGUCGUAGACCCGAAACCAGGUGAUCUACCCUUGGUCAGGUUGAAGUUCAGGUAACACUGAAUGGAGGACCGAACCGACUUACGUUGAAAAGUGAGCGGAUGAACUGAGGGUAGCGGAGAAAUUCCAAUCGAACUUGGAGAUAGCUGGUUCUCUCCGAAAUAGCUUUAGGGCUAGCCUCAAGUGAUGAUUAUUGGAGGUAGAGCACUGUUUGGACGAGGGGCCCCUCUCGGGUUACCGAAUUCAGACAAACUCCGAAUGCCAAAUAAUUUAACUUGGGAGUCAGAAUGUGGG